AACCUAGCACACCUGCGGUGUGUACCUGCGGAGGGAUCAUUAACAAGCUGUGGGAGAUCGAUCAAUUUGAUCUCACACCUGGCCAACCUUGUUAACCUUAAAUAUAUUGCUUUGGUGAGCCCUGCUCACCAAAGUCAAACCCUAAACUCUUGAUUGUUUCUGCUGUCUGAGCAUGCAAGUGCAAAAUUUAGUUAAAAACUUUCAACAAUGGAUCU
This 215-nucleotide unclassified non-coding RNA is filed under the name soil metagenome. RNAcentral's name for it is "partial contains 5.8S ribosomal RNA, internal transcribed spacer 2, and large subunit ribosomal RNA". The record is from RNAcentral.